AACUCUCAGUGUGAGCUAGAGGGUCUAAAGCGGAGUAUGCAGUUCUUGAUGGACCAAGACAUGCAAGUGGCAGGUGGCCAAGUGGGUACGUGAGAAAAUGUGUUCAGAAGGAACAAGGCAUUUCUUUGACGUCUGGCAUAUUGGGAAAAGUGUACAGAAAGCACUGGAUGCUGCUGCAAAAGAGAGGGACUGUGAGGAUCUGAAGCUGUGGAGGCCAGCCAUCAUCAACCAUCUCUACUGGACCGCAGCUUCCACCCCUACAGGAGAUCCAGAUGAGAUGCAGGCAAAAUGUACAGGACAUACAUGAACACAGCACUCCUGCAUUUGCCAGCUGCGCACAUCCACCGUUGGAAGGAGAGGCAAGAAACAAGGAGUGGCUGGAACCAGGAUCACCAGCACCCACUAAACUGGAGAGUGUAGCUGCCAGGAAAGCACUGGUAAAGGAUAUUCGACAAUUGUCACCUCAGCAUCAGGCAUUCUCCCUGGAGGCCUACCAUUCCCUCAUUCUGCACUUUGCUCCCAAACAUACUGGCUUUUCUUUUACAGCAGACUUCUCUUGGCAGCCCUACAUUUCAAUAGUAAUGGCAACAGAGAUGUAGCGCGAACUAGUGAGGGUGAGGGACGCUACGCUGUUCGCUACCCACGGUUUCGGAAAGGUGGCUGGGUAGUCCACCCCAUCAAGGAGAAACCAUCUUACGUAUACGCAACAAUUCUUAUGGUCUCUCUGGUAGAGGAAUACUGCAAGACACCGCAGGCCCUCUGCUGCACCGCCCCCCUCACCUCUUCCGUCCAGAAGGUUGCCAAGGAUGAGGCAGUCAGCCUCCAUCUCGCACGACACUCACGUUUUAACAUGUAAUAAAAUAUCAAUUUUACCAGUAGUUUGUUUCACUAUGGAUUUAUUAAUCGUCUUCCAAGCGGGGCCACUGAAAACCUUUGUAUGUCUGUCCCUCCUCUGCAAACUGCAACUUUAUUGCUGACACAACACAUGAAGGUAUGGCUUUCCUAAUGUUCCUGCCUAGUAUUCCGUAUGCCCAGCGGACAACCUGCCUGUAUGCUGUGUAUCGGAACUGCCUGUGGUGUAGAUUGGGACAUAUAUACAUUUUGAUCAUACCAUGUUUUCAUAGUAAACAAUUCCAAUGGUAAAU
Molecule: long non-coding RNA, 1145 nt
Organism: Carassius gibelio (silver crucian carp)
Lineage: Eukaryota; Metazoa; Chordata; Actinopteri; Cypriniformes; Cyprinidae
Exons: 6
Source: RefSeq, a predicted model, not a curated record